UAAAUCAAAACUUUCAACAACGGAUCUCUUGGUUCUGGCAUCGAUGAAGAACGCAGCAAAAUGCGAUAAGUAAUGUGAAUUGCAGAAUUCAGUGAAUCAUCGAAUCUUUGAACGCACAUUGCGCCCGCCAGUAUUCUGGCGGGCAUGCCUGUUCGAGCGUCAUUUCAACCCUCAAGCACAGCUUGGUGUUGGGACUCGCGUUAAUUCGCGUUCCUCAAAUUGAUUGGCGGUCACGUCGAGCUUCCAUAGCGUAGUAGUAAAACCCUCGUUACUGGUAAUCGUCGCGGCCACGCCGUUAAACCCCAACUUCUGAAUGUUGACCUCGGAUCAGGUAGGAAUACCCGCUGAACUUAAGCAUAUCAAUAAGCGGAGGA
Molecule: ribosomal RNA, 374 nt
Filed under: uncultured fungus
Lineage: Eukaryota; Fungi
Description: eukaryotic LSU rRNA
Rfam family: 5.8S ribosomal RNA (bases 9-162)
Source: RNAcentral